UUAAGGUACAACAAUCAACAAAAUCCACUAGGCAUCUUUAUAAAAUAAAGAUUAUAAAAAUAAAGAUGCCUAGUGGAUUUUGUUGAUUGUUGUACCUUAAUUUAU
Molecule: non-coding RNA, 105 nt
Organism: Paramuricea clavata
Lineage: Eukaryota; Metazoa; Cnidaria; Anthozoa; Malacalcyonacea; Plexauridae
Source: the annotation of a GenBank genome assembly